GCCGGGCUAGCUCAGUCGUUAGAGCAUGAGACUUUUAAUCUCAGGGUCGUGGGUUCGAUCCCCACGUUGGGCG
RNAcentral lists this transfer RNA (73 nucleotides) under Sarcophilus harrisii (Tasmanian devil). RNAcentral describes it as "tRNA-Lys (TTT) (tRNA-Lys-TTT-3-1)". It matches the Rfam family "tRNA". From Rfam's summary of the family: Transfer RNA (tRNA) molecules are approximately 80 nucleotides in length. Their secondary structure includes four short double-helical elements and three loops (D, anti-codon, and T loops). Lineage: Eukaryota; Metazoa; Chordata; Mammalia; Dasyuromorphia; Dasyuridae. The record is from Rfam by way of RNAcentral.